UUAAGUGAAUAAGGGCGCACGGUGGAUGCCUUGGUACUAGGAGCCGAAGAAGGACGGAACUAACACCGAUAUGCUUUGGGGAGCUGUAAGUAAGCUAAGAUCCAAAGAUUUCCGAAUGGGGGAACCCAACACCUUUCAUAGGGUGUUACCAAUGAGUGAAUACAUAGCUCAUUAGGAGGUACACGCAGGGAACUGAAACAUCUCAUUACCUGCAGGAAGAGAAAGAAAAAUCGAUUCCCUGAGUAGCGGCGAGCGAAACGGGAGGAGCCCAAACCAACGAGCUUGCUUGUUGGGGUUGUAGGACUAGAACGUGAGAAGAAAUCAAGAUAGCAGAAGUGGUCUGGAAAGGCCCAUCAAAGAAGGUGACAAUCCUGUACGCGACAUUUUGAUGAACUCUACUAGCAUCCUGAGUACGGCGGGACACGAGGAAUCCCGUCGGAAUCCGCCAGGACCAUCUGGCAAGGCUAAAUACUACCUAGUGACCGAUAGUGAACCAGUACCGUGAGGGAAAGGUGAAAAGAACCCCGGGAGGGGAGUGAAAGAGUACCUGAAACCGUGUGCUUACAAGUAGUCAGAGCCCGUUAAUGGGUGAUGGCGUGCCUUUUGUAGAAUGAACCGGCGAGUUACGUUUACAUGCGAGGUUAAGAUGAAGAGUCGGAGCCGUAGCGAAAGCGAGUCUGAAUAGGGCGCAUGUAGUAUGUGGACGUAGACCCGAAACCAAGUGAUCUACCCAUGUCCAGGUUGAAGGUGCGGUAAAACGCACUGGAGGACCGAACCAGGGCACGUUGAAAAGUGCUUGGAUGAGGUGUGGGUAGCGGAGAAAUUCCAAUCGAACUUGGAGAUAGCUGGUUCUCUCCGAAAUAGCUUUAGGGCUAGCCUCGGAAUCAAGAAUCGUGGAGGUAGAGCACUGUUUGGACUAGGGGCCCAUCUCGGGUUACCGAAUUCAGAUAAACUCCGAAUGCCAUGUAUUUAUAUCCGGGAGUCAGACUGCGAGUGAUAAGAUCCGUAGUCGAAAGGGAAACAGCCCAGACCACCAGCUAAGGUCCCAAAAUAUAUGUUAAGUGGAAAAGGAUGUGGGGUUGCACAGACAACUAGGAUGUUAGCUUAGAAGCAGCUAUUCAUUCAAAGAGUGCGUAAUAGCUCACUAGUCGAGUGACCCUGCGCCGAAAAUGUACCGGGGCUAAAACAUAUUACCGAAGCUGUGGAUACCUUUAUAGGUAUGGUAGGAGAGCGUUCUAUGUGCGAAGAAGGUGUACCGUGAGGAGUGCUGGAGCGCAUAGAAGUGAGAAUGCCGGUAUGAGUAGCGAAAGACAGGUGAGAAUCCUGUCCACCGUAAGACUAAGGUUUCCAGGGGAAGGCUCGUCCGCCCUGGGUUAGUCGGGACCUAAGGAGAGACCGAAAGGUGUAUCCGAUGGACAACAGGUUGAUAUUCCUGUACUAGAGUAUGUAGUGAUGGAGGGACGCAGUAGGCUAACUAAAGCAGACGAUUGGAAGUGUCUGUCUAAGCAGUGAGGUGUGAUAUGAGUCAAAUGCUUAUAUCUAUAACAUUGAGCUGUGAUGGGGAGCGAAGUUUAGUAGCGAAGUUAGUGACGUCACACUGCCAAGAAAAGCUUCUAGCGUUAAUCAUACUCUACCCGUACCGCAAACCGACACAGGUAGUCGAGGCGAGUAGCCUCAGGUGAGCGAGAGAACUCUCGUUAAGGAACUCGGCAAAAUGACCCCGUAACUUCGGGAGAAGGGGUGCUGGUAGCAAUACCAGCCGCAGUGAAUAGGCCCAGGCGACUGUUUAUCAAAAACACAGGUCUCUGCAAAAUCGAAAGAUGACGUAUAGGGGCUGACGCCUGCCCGGUGCUGGAAGGUUAAGAGGAGAGGUUAGCGCAAGCGAAGCUUUGAAUUGAAGCCCCAGUAAACGGCGGCCGUAACUAUAACGGUCCUAAGGUAGCGAAAUUCCUUGUCGGGUAAGUUCCGACCCGCACGAAAGGCGUAACGAUUUGGGCACUGUCUCAACGAUGGACUCGGUGAAAUCAUAGUACCUGUGAAGAUGCAGGUUACCCGCGACAGGACGGAAAGACCCCAUGGAGC
This 2082-nucleotide ribosomal RNA is filed under the name human metagenome. RNAcentral describes it as "bacterial LSU rRNA". It matches the Rfam family "Bacterial large subunit ribosomal RNA", at positions 1 to 2099 of the family's 2925-position model. The record is from RNAcentral.